Molecule: ribosomal RNA, 469 nt
Filed under: uncultured bacterium
Lineage: Bacteria
Description: partial 16S ribosomal RNA
Rfam family: Bacterial small subunit ribosomal RNA
Source: RNAcentral
GACGAACGCUGGCGGCGUGCUUAACACAUGCAAGUCGAACGGUGAAGCGAGUGCUUGCACUCGUGGAUCAGUGGCGAACGGGUGAGUAACACGUGAGUAACCUGCCCAUCACUCUGGGAUAAGCACUGGAAACGGUGUCUAAUACUGGAUACGACCAACCCUUGCAUGGGGUGUUGGUGGAAAGAUUUAUCGGUGAUGGAUGGACUCGCGGCCUAUCAGCUUGUUGGCGGGGUAAUGGCUCACCAAGGCGACGACGGGUAGCCGGCCUGAGAGGGUGACCGGCCACACUGGGACUGAGACACGGCCCAGACUCCUACGGGAGGCAGCAGUGGGGAAUAUUGCACAAUGGGCGAAAGCCUGAUGCAGCGACGCCGCGUGAGGGAUGACGGCCUUCGGGUUGUAAACCUCUUUCAGCAGGGAAGAAGCGAAAGUGACGGUACCUGCAGAAGAAGCACCGGCUAACUACGUG